AACUAACGCUAGCGGCGUGCCUAACACAUGCAAGUCGUACGAGAAAGUCGGCUUCGGCUGAUGAGUAAAGUGGCGCACGGGUGAGUAACGCGUGGAUAAUCUACCCUUAAGUUUGGAAUAACGUACCGAAAGGUGCGCUAAUACCGGAUAAUACUGAGCAACUACUGUUGUUUAGUCAAAGAAGGCUUCUGUUUACAUGCUUUUGCUGAAGGAUGAGUCCGCGUACCAUUAGCUAGUUGGUAGGGUAAAAGCCUACCAAGGCGACGAUGGUUAGCUGGUCUGAGAGGAUGAUCAGCCACACUGGAACUGAGACACGGUCCAGACUCCUACGGGUGGCUG
This 339-nucleotide ribosomal RNA is filed under the name uncultured Pseudomonadota bacterium. RNAcentral's name for it is "bacterial SSU rRNA". It matches the Rfam family "Bacterial small subunit ribosomal RNA", at positions 29 to 351 of the family's 1533-position model. The record is from RNAcentral. Lineage: Bacteria; Pseudomonadati; Pseudomonadota.